CUUUGAGUGAGGAAAGUCCGAGCACUAUAGGGCAGGACGCCGGGUAACGCCCGGUGGAGGCGACUUCAAGGAAAGUGCAACAGAGAUAUACCGCAACCCUGGCUACGCCAGGAUGCAAGGGUGGAAAGGCGAGGUAAGAGCUCACCGGAACCUCUGGCGACAGAGGCUCCCUGUAAACCCCGUCCGGUGCAAGAUUGAUAGGGGAGCAUAUAAUAGCGGCCCGCUAAGCUUCAUGUAAUCGCUAGAGCCUGCUGGCGACAGCAGGCCAAGACAGAUGGUCAUCCCAGACAGAACUCGGCUUAUUGUCCGACUCA
Molecule: RNase P RNA, 314 nt
Filed under: human gut metagenome
Description: Bacterial RNase P class A
Rfam family: Bacterial RNase P class A
About the family: Ribonuclease P (RNase P) is a ubiquitous endoribonuclease, found in archaea, bacteria and eukarya as well as chloroplasts and mitochondria. Its best characterised activity is the generation of mature 5'-ends of tRNAs by cleaving the 5'-leader elements of precursor-tRNAs. Cellular RNase Ps are ribonucleoproteins.
Source: RNAcentral